Molecule: ribosomal RNA, 253 nt
Filed under: uncultured bacterium
Lineage: Bacteria
Description: partial 16S ribosomal RNA
Rfam family: Bacterial small subunit ribosomal RNA
Source: RNAcentral
UACAGAGGGUGCAAGCGUUGUUCGGAUUCAUUGGGCGUAAAGGGUGCGUAGGCGGCGCGGUAAGUCGGGUGUGAAAUCUCGGGGCUUAACUCCGAAACUGCAUUCGAUACUGCCGUGCUUGAGGACUGGAGAGGAGACUGGAAUUUACGGUGUAGCGGUGAAAUGCGUAGAUAUCGUAAGGAAGACCAGUGGCGAAGGCGGGUCUCUGGACAGUUCCUGACGCUGAGGUGCGAAAGCGUGGGGAGCAAACAGG